RNAcentral lists this ribosomal RNA (253 nucleotides) under uncultured bacterium. RNAcentral's name for it is "partial 16S ribosomal RNA". It matches the Rfam family "Bacterial small subunit ribosomal RNA", at positions 524 to 776 of the family's 1533-position model. The record is from RNAcentral.
UACGGGGGGAGCAAGCGUUGUUCGGAUUUACUGGGCGUAAAGGGCGCGUAGGCGGCGCAACAAGUCACUUGUGAAAUCUCCGGGCUUAACUCGGAGCGGCCAAGUGAUACUGUCGUGCUAGAGUGCGGAAGGGGCUACUGGAAUUCUCGGUGUAGCGGUGAAAUGCGUAGAUAUCGAGAGGAACACCUGCGGCGAAGGCGGGUAGCUGGGCCGACACUGACACUGAGGAGCGAAAGCGUGGGGAGCGAACAGG